UACGUAGGGAGCGAGCGUUGUCCGGAUUUACUGGGUGUAAAGGGUGCGUAGGCGGCUCUGUAAGUCAGAAGUGAAAUCCAUGGGCUCAACCCAUGAACUGCUUUUGAAACUGUGGAGCUUGAGUGAAGUAGAGGUAGGCGGAAUUCCCGGUGUAGCGGUGAAAUGCGUAGAGAUCGGGAGGAACACCAGUGGCGAAGGCGGCCUACUGGGCUUUAACUGACGCUGAGGCUCGAAAGCGUGGGGAGCAA
RNAcentral lists this ribosomal RNA (248 nucleotides) under uncultured Ruminiclostridium sp. Its description in RNAcentral is "partial 16S ribosomal RNA". It matches the Rfam family "Bacterial small subunit ribosomal RNA", at positions 524 to 771 of the family's 1533-position model. Lineage: Bacteria; Bacillati; Bacillota; Clostridia; Eubacteriales; Oscillospiraceae. The record is from RNAcentral.